This 426-nucleotide ribosomal RNA is filed under the name uncultured bacterium. Its description in RNAcentral is "bacterial SSU rRNA". It matches the Rfam family "Bacterial small subunit ribosomal RNA", at positions 30 to 504 of the family's 1533-position model. The record is from RNAcentral.
CGAACGCUGGCGGCAGGCUUAACACAUGCAAGUCGAACGCCCCGCGAGGGGAGUGGCAGACGGGUGAGUAACACGUGGGAACAUACCCUUUGGUUCGGAACAACUCGGGGAAACCCGAGCUAAUACCGGAUAAGUGCGAGAGCAGAAAGAUUCAUCGCCGAAGGAUUGGCCCGCGUCCGAUUAGCUAGUUGGUGAGGUAAUGGCUCACCAAGGCGACGAUCGGUAGCUGGUCUGAGAGGAUGGCCAGCCACAUUGGGACUGAGACACGGCCCAAACUCCUACGGGAGGCAGCAGUGGGGAAUAUUGGACAAUGGGCGCAAGCCUGAUCCAGCCAUGCCGCGUGAGUGACGACGGCCUUAGGGUUGUAAAGCUCUUUCGCACGCGACGAUAAUGACGGUAGCGUGAGAAGAAGCCCCGGCUAACUUC